RNAcentral lists this non-coding RNA (46 nucleotides) under Trichobilharzia regenti. The record is from RNAcentral. Lineage: Eukaryota; Metazoa; Platyhelminthes; Trematoda; Strigeidida; Schistosomatidae.
AUCCAAACGAUGAGUCCCAAAAUAGGAUGAAAUGCGUAUCCUGGAU